UACGUAGGGUGCGAGCGUUGUCCGGAAUUAUUGGGCGUAAAGAGCUCGUAGGCGGUUUGUCACGUCUGCUGUGAAAUCCCGAGGCUCAACCUCGGGCCUGCAGUGGGUACGGGCAGACUGGAGUGCGGUAGGGGAGAAUGGAAUUCCUGGUGUAGCGGUGGAAUGCGCAGAUAUCAGGAGGAACACCGAUGGCGAAGGCAGUUCUCUGGGCCGUAACUGACGCUGAGGAGCGAAAGUGUGGGGAGCGAACAGG
RNAcentral lists this ribosomal RNA (253 nucleotides) under uncultured bacterium. RNAcentral's name for it is "partial 16S ribosomal RNA". It matches the Rfam family "Bacterial small subunit ribosomal RNA", at positions 524 to 776 of the family's 1533-position model. The record is from RNAcentral.